Panicum hallii is the source of this 139-nucleotide small nucleolar RNA. RefSeq annotates it as small nucleolar RNA Z247. The transcript has a single exon. Lineage: Eukaryota; Viridiplantae; Streptophyta; Magnoliopsida; Poales; Poaceae. The record is from RefSeq and is a predicted model, not a curated record.
CCCAUCGACGAUGAUGAGAUGGUACACUUCAUUCUUACUGGGUUAGAUUUUGAUUAUAACCCCUUUGUAUCUUCAGUUCUUGGUCGUGUUGGAUCAAUCUCCUUGAGUGAUUUGUACUCCGAGCUACUUUCCUAUGAUC